This 577-nucleotide ribosomal RNA is filed under the name uncultured cyanobacterium. RNAcentral describes it as "bacterial SSU rRNA". It matches the Rfam family "Bacterial small subunit ribosomal RNA", at positions 152 to 761 of the family's 1533-position model. Lineage: Bacteria; Bacillati; Cyanobacteriota. The record is from RNAcentral.
GGAAACGACUGCUAAUACCCAAUAUGCAGCAAUGUGAAAUAAAUUUUGCCUGAAGAGGAGCUCGCGUCCGAUUAGUUAGUUGGUGAGGUAAGAGCUUACCAAGGCGGCGAUCGGUAGCUGGUCUGAGAGGAUGAGCAGCCACACUGGGACUGAGACACGGCCCAGACUCCUACGGGAGGCAGCAGUGGGGAAUUUUCCGCAAUGGGCGAAAGCCUGACGGAGCAAUACCGCGUGAGGGAGGAAGGCUUUUGGGUUGUAAACCUCUUUUUUUAAGGAAGAAGAAAGUGACGGUACUUAAAGAAUCAGCAUCGGCUAACUCCGUGCCAGCAGCCGCGGUAAUACGGAGGAUGCAAGCGUUAUCCGGAAUCAUUGGGCGUAAAGCGUCCGCAGGUGGCGAUUCAAGUCUGCUGUUAAAGACAGAAGCUUAACUUCUGAAAAGCGGUGGAAACUGGAUAGCUAGAGUACGGUAGGGGUUGAGGGAAUUCCCAGUGUAGCGGUGAAAUGCGUAGAUAUUGGGAAGAACACCAGUGGCGAAGGCGCUCAACUGGGCCGUAACUGACACUCAGGGACGAAAGCU